Molecule: long non-coding RNA, 1808 nt
Filed under: Camelus dromedarius (Arabian camel)
Lineage: Eukaryota; Metazoa; Chordata; Mammalia; Artiodactyla; Camelidae
Description: lncRNA (ENSCDRG00005002417.1)
Source: RNAcentral
AGCUUCCCUCCUGAGCGACAGCUCACCUUGUGAGCUCUGAGAGUUGUGUUUGGGUGGCUCCACCAAACUGAAGUUCUCUAAAGCCGUAUCUUUGGAGAGUAAGAAGGGCCUCCUUGUGCAGAUUUGGGAAUUAGCCACACGUAGCAACCACCGAAGCCAGAAAGGAGGCGUGAGUUUUCAGAGCGAAUGAGAAAGGAAGUCAGCCAUGGGGGGGGUGCCUGAUGGGCGCAGAGGGCGUCUGUUGGGGUCUUUCUGAGCAUGUGCAGCUCUUCCUGCGUCCAGAUUGGGGAGGGUGUGGCUGCUGAGCCCAAGGGUAGGAGGAACUUUAGGAUAAUGGAAAAAGGUUCCAUCCCGCCCCCAACAAGGCCAUAGGGCCGCUUCCCCAAGCCAGUUGGCCUGUAGACAGGAUGCCCCCAGAGCCUGACCUGUGACAGGACAGCUCUCCUGCCCCUUGUGGCCAGGCCUGGGAGAACCACUGCCACCUAGCCUCCCAGGAACCUGGACAGGGUGCAGACCAACUUCCCCCACCCCUCAGGUGCCAUAAGCAGAGAUAGGAAGCCCUCAACCCCCCACCUCUCAGCCCAGACCAGGUCUGUGUCCAGGGUCCUGGGAGCAGCACAGAAGGCUUAGACACUCCCCCGGGCAUUGCCACAGGCCAGAUGGGUGCUUGGACAAGUUGCCUGCUUCACACAAAGCGGGGCCAGGCCCCACCUGUCAGAAAAAGCCUCUGAGGACCAAGCUGUGUCCACCAGAGAGGUGUCGGUCAGUUGGAAACCGUCAGGAGCUGAUUGUGUCUUCUUCCUUGUGUUAGGAGAAAAGCAGCCUCCCAAACAGACAAGCCGGCUGAUAAAAAGGAAGACGAAAGCCAAACGGAAGAGCCGAGCACUUCUCCGUCUCCAGGGACCCGAGCAGCCAGCCAGCCCCCCAACUCCUCAGAGGCUGGCCGGAAGCCCUGGGAGCGGAGCAGCUCGGCGGAGAAGCCGGUGUCCUCAUUGCUGUCCAGAACCCCGUCUGUGGCAAAGAGCCCCGAAGCUAAGAGCCCCCUUCAGUCGCAGCCUCACUCUAGGUACCGAACAGCCCCAUCUGUGGGGCCUCCCUUGUCCCCUGCCCAUGACUAACACCCGCCCGUGUCCUGUCUAACAGUUUGCUCUGGGGAAGGGUGGUCUGUGCUUUGUUCAGACCUGGGGACAGGUAGGGCUGGGGGGCUGAGGAUGCUGCAGGCCAGCUCCUUCCUGUCAUCUUGUGGACAGAGCCUGAGGUCCGGGGAGGGGGGUGGCCUGUCUGAAGAGGCAGUUAAGUGGAGCUGGGGUGAACCCCAGCUCUGGCCUCACUAACUGUGACAUCGGGUGAGCCAGGGGACCUCUCUGAGCCUCCACUCCUGCCCCCACCCCACAAAGAGGUCUGUUCCUCCCUCCCUUACAGGGCGGGCAUGUGGACAGCUGUGCGGACAACAGCUGGACACAGGAAGUAGUCACUAGCCAUGGCAGCAUCUCCCAGCUCAAAAUCCUGGGACUGGCCCAGCACCCUGCCUCCUCUCCUUCCUUGGCACUUUUCCCCAGAGAUAUGUGACCAUAUUUCCCAAACCAAAAGCCGAUGUGAGAACAGGAUAGGGUGUUUGAAACUCAGAUCACUCAGCAGAGAGGCAAUCACAGUAACCAUGGGCCAGGUGUGGCCUGAAUUUGCAGGUGUUUAGAACCUGUGCAAAAAUGUCUCCAUUGCCCAUCACAAAUGGAAGAGAAAUGGUCCUGAUUCCAGAGCAGCAAGCAUUUGGGCCUGGUCUUGCUGAGUGAGGCAGGGUGACCAGAGAG